Molecule: ribosomal RNA, 830 nt
Filed under: uncultured bacterium
Lineage: Bacteria
Description: bacterial SSU rRNA
Rfam family: Bacterial small subunit ribosomal RNA
Source: RNAcentral
ACGCUGGCGGCGUGCUUAACACAUGCAAGUCGAACGAUGAAACCUAGCUUGCUAGGUGGAUUAGUGGCGCACGGGUGAGUAAUAUAUAGGUAAUGUGCCUCUUAGUCUGGGAUAGCCAUUGGAAACGAUGAUUAAUACUGGAUACUCCUUCUAACUCUAAUGUUAGUCGGGAAAGUUUUUCGCUAAGAGAUCAGCCUAUAUCCCAUCAGUUAGUUGGUAAGGUAACGGCUUACCAAGGCAAUGACGGGUAGCGGGUUUGAGAGGAUGAUCCGCCACACUGGUACUGAGACACGGACCAGACUCCUACGGGAGGCAGCAGUGAGGAAUAUUGCACAAUGGGGGAAACCCUGAUGCAGCAACGCCGCGUGGAGGAUGACGCAUUUCGGUGUGUAAACUCCUUUUAUAUGUCAAGAAAAUGACGGUAGCAUAUGAAUAAGCACCGGCUAACUCCGUGCCAGCAGCCGCGGUAAUACGGAGGGUGCAAGCGUUACUCGGAAUCACUGGGCGUAAAGGACGCGUAGGCGGAUUGGAAAGUCAGAUGUGAAAUCCUACAGCUUAACUGUAGAACUGCAUUUGAAACUUCUAAUCUAGAGUAUGGGAGGGGGAGAUGGAAUUAGUGGUGUAGGGGUAAAAUCCGUAGAUAUCACUAGGAAUACCGAAAGCGAAGGCGAUCUCCUGGAACAUUACUGACGCUAAGGCGUGAAAGCGUGGGGAGCAAACAGGAUUAGAUACCCUGGUAGUCCACGCCCUAAACGAUGAACACUAGUCGUCGGGAUGCUUGUCAUCUCGGUGAUGCACUUAACAGAUUAAGUGUUCCGCCUGGGGAGUAC